AGGACGAACGCUGGCGGCGUGCUUAACACAUGCAAGUCGAACGGAAAGGCCCGCUUGCGGGUACUCGAGUGGCGAACGGGUGAGUAACACGUGGGCAACCUGCCCUCAGCUUCGGGAUAACACUUGGAAACAGGUGCUAAUACCGGAUAAUAACCUUUCAUCGCAUGGUGGUUGGUUCAAAGUUUUUCGGCUGAGGAUGGGCCCGCGGCCUAUCAGCUUGUUGGUGGGGUAAUGGCCUACCAAGGCGACGACGGGUAGCCGGCCUGAGAGGGCGACCGGCCACACUGGGACUGAGACACGGCCCAGACUCCUACGGGAGGCAGCAGUGGGGAAUAUUGCGCAAUGGGCGGAAGCCUGACGCAGCGACGCCGCGUGAGGGAUGACGGCCUUCGGGUUGUAAACCUCUUUCAGCUCUGACGAAGCGCAAGUGACGGUAGGAGCAGAAGAAGCACCGGCCAACUACGUGCCAGCAGCCGCGGUAA
Molecule: ribosomal RNA, 482 nt
Filed under: uncultured bacterium
Lineage: Bacteria
Description: SSU rRNA
Rfam family: Bacterial small subunit ribosomal RNA
Source: RNAcentral